Papaver somniferum (opium poppy) is the source of this 469-nucleotide long non-coding RNA. RefSeq lists it as uncharacterized. NCBI's taxonomy places the organism in Eukaryota, Viridiplantae, Streptophyta, Magnoliopsida, Ranunculales, Papaveraceae. The transcript is spliced from 4 exons. The record is from RefSeq and is a predicted model, not a curated record.
UGAAUGUAUAUGGUCAUAUGACUAUCCCACUAAGGAUGAUAUAUAAUUCGGAAAUGAGAAUACCUGUUGGAGAACUCUCUUUAUACUGCACUAGGAGGAAUCCGACCCUCUGUUUUUGAAGACUCAAGGUAUUCACGAUCGCCUUCACCCGUCAAGCAUGGCUCGAGCCGUUCACAACCGUCUUCACAAAUCAGGUUGGUGUAUUGGUUUUUUGGGAGCAUACAAUGAAGACAUUUCUUUGCUGGGUGACGAUAAUAAGAUGAUCACAGCUGUGGCCUGUAGCCCGGAACUCCGACCAGGUUCCGGUCACCAAUAUUUUUUAUUUAAGUGUGACAAAGAUUAUUACGGAAAUAACUGGGUCAAUUUUUGAAAACUGUGACUAAAUAAAGACACGUGUUUUCUCUUAGAAUUGUUGCAAACGCAAUUUUUAACAAAAAUAAACGUUACAGAAAGUGUGUAAAUUGUGACU